GUGUCUGUGCUUAUGAGGGGUAAGGCAGUUAUCGUGGUGUUCUGUGAGUUUCAGCUAUAUUGGCUCGGGGGUUACAGUUCCAUCUGCCACGUAUGUGGUCCAUGGGUACCAGGUCAAUGCACACCGCUCCGAUCUCCCGUGGAGGUCGGCCGUCAGGGUCUCCAUUGAGUAUAUGUCCUCUACCACUGACAUCCAUUGCCCCAAGGUGGGCGCUCUUGGCUGUUUCCACAUCCUCGGGAUAAGGGAUUUGGCGGC
Molecule: non-coding RNA, 255 nt
Organism: Pelobates cultripes (western spadefoot toad)
Lineage: Eukaryota; Metazoa; Chordata; Amphibia; Anura; Pelobatidae
Source: the annotation of a GenBank genome assembly